UGGACAUGCUCAAUAAAUAUUGCUAAUACCUUUUAUAAAAGUAACAUCUGAUAAAACCAUUGGGUUAGGGGGAACAAAGAGACAUUUUGCAAAUAUCUUUUAGGAGUUAUCCAUUUGAAUUUACUUGGUAAAAGAUCAAGUAAUACAAGAAAGAAAAGUACACGAGUGCCACCAUCCUCAACAUUAGUACUUGUUGCUUUCAAAUUUGUUCCAAAGGGUAGCAUUCUCAUUUUGUUACAGACAUCUUCAAAUGUUUGACGGUAUCUUGUUUCUUUUCCAAAACGAAGUUAACAUUUAACUUGCAUGAUUGUGUAGAAAACCUGGUGCUGCAUGGAGAUUUAAUAGUCCCUGUGUCCUAUUUAGUGUUUACAUGUUUCUUACUCAUUACAUUCAAAUUUUAAAACCCAGAAUUUGUUAAUUCUCUGCAUAAAUUUUGCAAAACGGCAAUUGACAUGGUUUCGUAACGAGCAUAUCUAUCACUGGCUUGACGCUUCCAAACCCUUGGAUAUUGUUCUAAACUUUAUUUGUGAUGCAUACCAUGACAAAAGUGGAAAUUGGGUUAUGCCUGAGUCACUGCAAAUGAAGAAAGAAUUGUCAAGCCGCUGAGAAGUGUUUGAACUAAAAAGCAACCAAACUAAGAACAGGUAUAGUAUAUGAACAUUGAAUGGUUUUAGUUAUUGUUGAGUUGGCAAAAAGGGCUAAUAUAUAGUUUUGUUUAUAUGCAAUUGUGCAGGCAUUUUAUCAGACAUGAAGAUUGUUCAGAUAUUCUAGAAUGGAUACAGAGAACACAAGGCUGAAACAAUGAAUUGUCAUUUAAUAUUCACUUCCUUGGUGCUUGAUUUUUGCCAAAGCAUCUGAUAUGAUCAGACAGAACUAUACUUGAGUAGGGAUAAUCUUCUCCUUACCGGCCAAAAAAUCUCAUCAUAGAGUUUGUUUCUUUGGAUAGGUUAGCUUUUAAGGCUCCAGCUUACUGCAGCUUUUAUGUUGAGUCCUAUAAUUCUUUUCUUGAGAUGAUGUCCCAAGUAGAUGGGCACGCACUAUAAUUCAUUUCUCUGUUUAAAAUGUUGGCUUCAAUGAUUGGGAAAUACGCCAUUUUUUGGUCUUGUAUUGGUUAGAUUUCUCAUUUGAUAGUUUACAAUGUUUGUAUUUAACGA
Molecule: long non-coding RNA, 1154 nt
Organism: Rosa chinensis
Lineage: Eukaryota; Viridiplantae; Streptophyta; Magnoliopsida; Rosales; Rosaceae
Exons: 2
Source: RefSeq, a predicted model, not a curated record